UACGUAGGGUGCGAGCGUUAAUCGGAAUUACUGGGCGUAAAGCGUGCGCAGGCGGUUUUGUAAGCCAGAUGUGAAAUCCCCGGGCUUAACCUGGGAAUGGCAUUUGGGACUGCAAGGCUUGAGUGCGGCAGAGGAGACUAGAAUUCCUGGUGUAGCAGUGAAAUGCGUAGAUAUCUGGAGGAAUACCGGUGGCGAAGGCGGCAUCCUGGACCAUUACUGACGCUGAGGCGCGAAAGCUAGGGGAGCAAACGGG
RNAcentral lists this ribosomal RNA (253 nucleotides) under uncultured bacterium. RNAcentral describes it as "partial 16S ribosomal RNA". It matches the Rfam family "Bacterial small subunit ribosomal RNA", at positions 524 to 776 of the family's 1533-position model. The record is from RNAcentral.